UACAGAGGGUGCGAGCGUUGUCCGGAAUCACUGGGCGUAAAGGGCGCGUAGGCGGCUUUUCACGCGUGCGGUGAAAGCUCGGGGCUUAACUCCGAGUCUGCCGUGCGAACGGGGAGGCUUGAGUCUGGUAGAGGUCGAUGGAAUUCCGGGUGUAGCGGUGGAAUGCGUAGAGAUCCGGAAGAAUACCGGUGGCGAAGGCGGCCUGCUGGGCAUGACCUGACGCUGAGGAGCGAAAGUGUGGGGAGCGAACAGG
Molecule: ribosomal RNA, 253 nt
Filed under: uncultured bacterium
Lineage: Bacteria
Description: partial 16S ribosomal RNA
Rfam family: Bacterial small subunit ribosomal RNA
Source: RNAcentral